RNAcentral lists this ribosomal RNA (253 nucleotides) under uncultured bacterium. RNAcentral's name for it is "partial 16S ribosomal RNA". It matches the Rfam family "Bacterial small subunit ribosomal RNA", at positions 524 to 776 of the family's 1533-position model. The record is from RNAcentral.
UACAGAGGUCUCAAGCGUUGUUCGGAUUCAUUGGGCGUAAAGGGUGCGUAGGCGGCGCGGUAAGUCGGGUGUGAAAUCUCGGAGCUUAACUCCGAAACUGCAUUCGAUACUGCCGUGCUUGAGGACUGGAGAGGAGACUGGAAUUUACGGUGUAGCGGUGAAAUGCGUGGAUAUCGUAAGGAAGACCAGUGGCGAAGGCGGGUCUCUGGACAGUUCCUGACGCUGAGGCACGAAGGUCAGGGGAGCAAACGGG